AGAUUUAUGGGGAUAGCAAUGUCAGAGCAUUCACCUGCCCUGGUGUUCAGUCUAUCAGUGCUGCACAACGAUCACGAAAAGAAGUGGCAAAACUGUCAACAAGUUGUAAUAAGAACAUUGUUUUGGUUGUGCUUCAGCUCUGCUCCCCAGCGUGGAUGAAUGUGGUUUGGGGCACCGGUGUACACUGGAUACAGGAAAUCUUAUCAGAGCGAAUGGACAAAUAAAUAAUGAAAGAAAGGAAAAGACGGAUAUCUGAAAACAUGUCAUCUAAGCAGGAAACCCCACACCAACCUGACAGAGCUUGAGAGGAUCUGCAGAGAAGAAUGGCAGAAAAUCCCCAAAUCCAGGUGUGCAAAACUUGUCACAUCAUACCCAAAAAGACUUGAGGCUGUAAUCGCUGCCAAGGGUGCUUCAACUAAGUACU
Myxocyprinus asiaticus (Chinese sucker) is the source of this 424-nucleotide long non-coding RNA. RefSeq lists it as uncharacterized. The record is from RefSeq and is a predicted model, not a curated record. NCBI's taxonomy places the organism in Eukaryota, Metazoa, Chordata, Actinopteri, Cypriniformes, Catostomidae. The transcript has 3 exons.